UCCUUCCUUGCCCCGUCUAGACGCUAUCCUAAGUGUUCCUUAGCUGUGGAUGGCAUCUCUAUAAUCUCUGCCACAGUUGGUAUUCUCCCUAUGAAUGUGUAUAUUCAUACAGCGUUCUCUUCUAGUAUGUCUCUGUCCAGACUUCCCUCUUAAAAGGACACAAUUCAUUAAAUUGAGGCCCACCUUGAUCCAGUUUUACCUCAUCUUACUUUGAUUACAUCUGCAAAAUCUCUGCUUCCAAAUAAGGUUGCAUUCAUAAAUACCAGCAGAUUGUACUUCAAUGCAUCUUUUGGGGGUGGGGGUUUACCAUUCAAUUCACAAAAGUUACUAGGCAAAAACUUGGGCUUUAGGUUUGCUGGAACUUACUUUUCAAGAUAAGCUGGAACUUUAACUUUUAUGUUGAAUCCUCAUAUCAUUAUAAUUUGGCUUUUAAAAAUACUUCUGUAGGCUGGAUAGAGUUUUCAUCUUUGUCACCUUGUUACUUCUGUGCUGCUGGGGGAAGAGAGUGUGAAGAGGUGGAGCUUUCCUUUAUUUUCUCCAGGAGCUGGUACCACAGAGAACUAAGGAAGGUGAUGGCAGAGUAAGAUUGGAGAUGGAAAGGAAAUAUGGAAUUGCUGGAACAUCUCAGAAGACUGGUUAAAAAGAAAAAAAAUGAGUCAAGAAUCAAAAAUAACUGUUCUGCCAUAACACCAAAAGAAUAUCAACAUAUACGGAAGAAUGUUGAUGGGAAGUAAUGGAUCUGGAAAGAAGAGUGGGAAAUCUACAAAUUUCGAGGUCCAAAAAGUCUGGGUCUCCCAGGCAUAAGGUCCUUAUGAUACCUUUAAGAUAACCCAAGGAUAACUGACUCCUUGCCUAAAUCCUGCCUCCUAUUCCUGGAUUCCUCUUCUGCAUCCCUCUGGAUUGGUUCUGUGAUCUGUUUGCAGUUCUUU
RNAcentral lists this long non-coding RNA (929 nucleotides) under Canis lupus familiaris (dog). Its description in RNAcentral is "lncRNA (ENSCAFG00030016857.1)". Lineage: Eukaryota; Metazoa; Chordata; Mammalia; Carnivora; Canidae. The record is from RNAcentral.